This 200-nucleotide ribosomal RNA is filed under the name Bacillus cereus. RNAcentral describes it as "partial 16S ribosomal RNA". It matches the Rfam family "Bacterial small subunit ribosomal RNA", at positions 69 to 267 of the family's 1533-position model. The record is from RNAcentral. Lineage: Bacteria; Bacillati; Bacillota; Bacilli; Caryophanales; Bacillaceae.
GCUUCGCUCUUAUCGAAGUUAGCGGCGGACGGGUGAGUAACACGUGGGUAACCUGCCCAUAAGACUGGGAUAACUCCGGGAAACCGGGGCUAAUACCGGAUAACAUUUUGAACCGCAUGGUUCGAAAUUGAAAGGCGGCUUCGGCUGUCACUUAUGGAUGGACCCGCGUCGCAUUAGCUAGUUGGUGAGUUAACGACGCU